UACGAAGGCGGCUAGGGUUAUUCGGAAUUACUGGGCGUAAAGCGCAUGUAGGCGGAUCUAUAAGUCAGAGGUGAAAUCCCCGGGCUCAACCCUGGAAUUGCCUUUGAGACUGUAGAUCUGGAGUCUGGGAGAGGUGAGUGGAAUUCCGAGUGUAGAGGUGAAAUUCGUAGAUAUUCGGAGGAACUCCAGUGGCUAAGGAGGCUCACUGGCUCGAGGUUGACGGUGAGAUGCGAAAGCGUUGGGAGCAAACAGG
RNAcentral lists this ribosomal RNA (253 nucleotides) under uncultured bacterium. RNAcentral describes it as "partial 16S ribosomal RNA". It matches the Rfam family "Bacterial small subunit ribosomal RNA", at positions 524 to 776 of the family's 1533-position model. The record is from RNAcentral.